GAUGAAGAACGUAGCGAAAUGCGAUAAGUAGUGUGAAUUGCAGAAUUCAGUGAAUCAUCGAAUCUUUGAACGCACAUUGCGCCCUUUGGUAUUCCAAAGGGCAUGCCUGUUCGAGCGUCAUUUGUACCCUCAAGCUUUGCUUGGUGUUGGGCGUCUUGUCUCUAGCUUUGCUGGAGACUCGCCUUAAAGUAAUUGGCAGCCGGCCUACUGGUUUCGGAGCGCAGCACAAGUCGCACUCUCUAUCAGCAAAGGUCUAGCAUCCACUAAGCCUUUUUUUCAACUUUUGACCUCGGAUCAGGUAGGGAUACCCGCUGAACUUAAGCAUAUCAAUAAGCGGAGGA
This 341-nucleotide unclassified non-coding RNA is filed under the name soil metagenome. RNAcentral's name for it is "partial contains 5.8S ribosomal RNA, internal transcribed spacer 2, and large subunit ribosomal RNA". The stretch from base 1 to 120 matches the Rfam family "5.8S ribosomal RNA", at positions 35 to 154 of the family's 154-position model. The record is from RNAcentral.